UAAGUUUUUUUUAAAAAAUAAAAUUGGAAUACACGUUCUCGCAAAUCCCGCACCUCCACUCUCCCAGUCUCCCUCAUCUGCAGGUUGGUUCCUUAACGUGAGAAACCCCUAAAUCUCCAUUUCUUUUUCCAAACAAGUCUUGUAUCGAACAUGAAUCACAUCUAAAACCAGCAGCAAAACACAUAGAUUCAGAGGGGAAAGGGGAGGCGAACAGCAGCGAUGAACGUGGCGGCGCGUGAGAGGAAAAGUAGUGGUGGAUCGGAACCUCGCGAGGGAGAACGGUGGGUCGUGGCGGCGCGAGAGGACGCGGCGCAACAGAUCCAACGACGUGCGUGGCGGUGGCUAGAAGAGGAGCGUGGUGGAGGCGAUUUAGAAGGAAGGAAGGAGGAAGGGAGGUGGUGGUGAUCACGAAGGAGAAGGAGGUGGUGAUGGUGGUGCAGCCAUGGGAGAGAAAGGGAGUGGCCACUGGUUCCUCCUCCUCCAACGACCCCAACCCUAACGCAGCAGCAGAGGAGUUAAGACCAGCUUGCUGGAAAAGGAACCGGAAGCUCCUCACCGAAGCCACAAUGUCUACUACCUCACGCAGGCUUCUCCCAAUCCAAUUCUACUACCUAUUUGCACUGCAAUAUAUCCCCCCCUGAGAAAGACACUUUCCAGUUCUGCAGCAAGCAGCUCCAACAGAUUUUUUGGAUCCAAGACAGCGCCCCCAAUAAUAAAGGGUGUUUCUAUUUACCCAUCUUUCAUUGAGCUUUUUAUGUCUUACCUUAAUUGAGAUCCCAUGAUCAGCAAUCUAAUGUGGAUGCCCUUUCGAGUUAGCAACAAGCAACUUUCGGCGAAAUGUAGACAGAAUGGAGUAUAAUGAUAUAGAAGUUUCAUUUUCUUCCUCAGCACCUUAUGCUUCAGAGUCAAAAAUUCUGGAUUGAGAUUUUAGUUGCAUAAAGGUUAGAAAAAUUUGUAGAGCCCUUUUUUUCCCUUCCUUUUUCAAUGCUUAAUGUUAUCUUGAAUUCUAUCUUGCAAUUACUGUAUUUUAUUUUAGACUUUAUCCCAAGGCUAAGGCAACAAUUCAGAGUUGGUGUUUUGAGAAACGAAAAUUUCAUAGUGGAAUAUAUAGUAUGUAGGUUUUAGCAAGCACAUAAAAUCUAAGAUUGUGUCAACUUUGAGCAAUUACUUAUGUUCUUUUUCAAUAGAUAAUUCCUAUGUUAGCUAGAAUGUUGCAAUUUUCAUUGCUUUAUUUUAAUGGUAACAGGGGGGCACAUUGGGAAGUCUUGUUGGGGUGUUUUUCUUUGUAUUGUAUUGGUGAAGCAAGUAAAUUUGUGGUGGUAGUGAUUCUAGUUGAAGGAAAUAGAACUUCCUGGGCUCUUGAGUCCCAAGAAUAUGUCUUCAGAC
Molecule: RNA transcript, 1386 nt
Organism: Lotus japonicus
Lineage: Eukaryota; Viridiplantae; Streptophyta; Magnoliopsida; Fabales; Fabaceae
Exons: 5
Source: RefSeq, a predicted model, not a curated record